GGCAAUCGGGCAUCAGAAUUCAUCGAUAUGAAACCCUGAUCGAAAAGUCCCAGACCAGUGGGACUCUUGAUCUCGGUACCCAAAAUGUGUAGAACUCAUGAUCAGAGAAGCCUGAUUCUCGAUCACAGAAUCCCAGAUAUGUAGGACUCUUUACUAGCCAUCAGAUCAGAUAGGAACCUCUAAUGUGUGUGACCCCGCAGGUUCGAACCUAAGCCGGUAGCACAGGAACCAAUUCCUGUACUAAUCGAAGUGACCAUCUAGCAAUGGUACCCGAUGAUCGGAUAGGUCAAAAAGUUACAAUCGUAACACUCAAAACCUAUGUGAAUAUGGUUACGGUAUAAUUCAUCCUUUUGACCUCUGUGUUUAGGAUGACUCAGGGUUAAACUGUCAACCCUGAUUAGAUCAUCCGAAUCAUGCUCAACUCAAACAGUCCUAUGACUCCUCACAAGGACUACCCUGGCCAAGAUUUUGCUAAAUUGAAACAUGACUGUACACAGCUCCUAAACUGGAGUGGUCAAUCCCAUCUUGACACACGCACCGACAAGUUAAGUACUUGACU
RNAcentral lists this long non-coding RNA (559 nucleotides) under Elaeis guineensis (African oil palm). Its description in RNAcentral is "long non-coding RNA (EGUI_LNC000470)". The record is from RNAcentral. Lineage: Eukaryota; Viridiplantae; Streptophyta; Magnoliopsida; Arecales; Arecaceae.